GACGAACGCUGGCGGCGUGCUUAACACAUGCAAGUCGAACGGUGAAGCGCCUUCCUUUUUGGUGGGUGUGGAUGAGUGGCGAACGGGUGAGUAACACGUGAGUAACCUGCCCCCUUCUUCUGGAUAACCGCAUGAAAGUGUGGCUAAUACGGGAUAUUCUGGGUCUGUCGCAUGAUGGGUCUGGGAAAGAUAUUGUUUCGGUGGGGGAUGGGCUCGCGGCCCAUCAGCUUGUUGGUGGGGUGAUGGCCUACCAAGGCGGUAACGGGUAGCCGGCCUGAGAGGGUGGACGGUCACACUGGGACUGAGACACGGCCCAGACUCCUACGGGAGGCAGCAGUGGGGAAUAUUGCACAAUGGGCGCAAGCCUGAUGCAGCGACGCCGCGUGAGGGAUGGAGGCCUUCGGGUUGUGAACCUCUUUCGCCAGUGAAGCAGGCCUGCCUCGUUUGUGGGUGGGUUGACGGUAGCUGGAGAAGAAGCGCCGGCUAACUACGUG
RNAcentral lists this ribosomal RNA (494 nucleotides) under uncultured bacterium. RNAcentral's name for it is "partial 16S ribosomal RNA". It matches the Rfam family "Bacterial small subunit ribosomal RNA", at positions 28 to 507 of the family's 1533-position model. The record is from RNAcentral.